CCGAGAAUAUUCCGCAAUGGACGAAAGUCUGACGGAGCGACAUCGCGUGAUGGAUGAAGUGCUUCGGUACGUAAACAUCUUUUAUGGGGGAAGAAAUUUUGACGGUACCCCAUGAAUAAGGGGCUCCUAACUCUGUGCCAGCAGGAGCGGUAAUACAGAGGCCCCGAGCGUUAUCCGGAAUUAUUGGGCGUAAAGGGUGUCCAGGCGGCCCUGUUAGUCGUUUGUAAAAUCCGUGGGCUUAACCUACGGUUCGCAAGCGAAACGGCAGGGCUCGAGGGCGCGAGAGGUAGAGGGAACUCAUGGUGGAGGGGUGAAAUCCGUUGAUAUCAUGGGGAACACCAAAGGCGAAGGCACUCUACUGGCGCGUUCCUGACGCUCACACACGAAAGCCAGGGGAUCGAACGGGAUUAGAUACCCCGGUAGUCC
This 426-nucleotide ribosomal RNA is filed under the name uncultured bacterium. Its description in RNAcentral is "bacterial SSU rRNA". It matches the Rfam family "Bacterial small subunit ribosomal RNA", at positions 355 to 796 of the family's 1533-position model. The record is from RNAcentral.